Molecule: ribosomal RNA, 376 nt
Filed under: uncultured bacterium
Lineage: Bacteria
Description: bacterial SSU rRNA
Rfam family: Bacterial small subunit ribosomal RNA
Source: RNAcentral
AUACGUAGGUGGCAAGCGUUGUCCGGAAUUAUUGGGCGUAAAGGGCGUGUAGGCGGCCAGACAAGUCUGUCUUAAAAGUGCGGGGCUCAACCCCGUGAUGGGAUGGAAACUGUCGGGCUAGAGUGUCGGAGAGGAAAGCGGAAUUCCUAGUGUAGCGGUGAAAUGCGUAGAUAUUAGGAGGAACACCAGUGGCGAAAGCGGCUUUCUGGACGACAACUGACGCUGAGGCGCGAAAGCCAGGGGAGCAAACGGGAUUAGAUACCCCGGUAGUCCUGGCCGUAAACGAUGGGUACUAGGUGUAGGAGGUAUCGACCCCUUCUGUGCCGGAGUUAACGCAAUAAGUAUCCCGCCUGGGGAGUACGGCCGCAAGGCUGAA